Non-coding RNA from Pelobates cultripes (western spadefoot toad), 345 nucleotides. Lineage: Eukaryota; Metazoa; Chordata; Amphibia; Anura; Pelobatidae. The record is from the annotation of a GenBank genome assembly.
CUAUGAUUUCCAAUCUCCCUGAACUGUAGAAUCGUAUCAAACCUUCCCGAUGCAAGGAAUGGGGUUUGUUUUUUUUUUCAAGAAGAGAAAGAGAGAAAUCCGUGCUAAGUCUUUUUAAUGGGAUUGAAUAUCAUUUGCUGUCUCAUCAGUUUUGCAAAAGAGCCCUAAACUAAUCACACUGCGAUUCUUUUCAUCCCUACACCAGCUAUCAAUUUAAACCAUGACGCUGAUUUUGUUGUGUGUAUAUGUGUGUGUGUGGGUACAAAAGUAAAAUGGAAAAGUCCUUUAAGAUUAAGCUUUUCGGUAUCAAAAGGUGCUUUAAUGCAAAGGUGUGAUUUCCUUGUG